This 547-nucleotide ribosomal RNA is filed under the name uncultured bacterium. RNAcentral describes it as "bacterial SSU rRNA". It matches the Rfam family "Bacterial small subunit ribosomal RNA", at positions 355 to 896 of the family's 1533-position model. The record is from RNAcentral.
UGGGGAAUAUUGCGCAAUGGGGGGAACCCUGACGCAGCCAUGCCGCGUGAAUGAAGAAGGCCUUCGGGUUGUAAAGUUCUUUCGGUAUUGAGGAAGGUUGAUGUGUUAAUAGCACAUCAAAUUGACGUUAAAUACAGAAGAAGCACCGGCUAACUCCGUGCCAGCAGCCGCGGUAAUACGGAGGGUGCGAGCGUUAAUCGGAAUAACUGGGCGUAAAGGGCACGCAGGCGGUUAUUUAAGUGAGGUGUGAAAGCCCUGGGCUUAACCUAGGAAUUGCAUUUCAGACUGGGUAACUAGAGUACUUUAGGGAGGGGUAGAAUUCCACGUGUAGCGGUGAAAUGCGUAGAGAUGUGGAGGAAUACCGAAGGCGAAGGCAGCCCCUUGGGAAUGUACUGACGCUCAUGUGCGAAAGCGUGGGGAGCAAACAGGAUUAGAUACCCUGGUAGUCCACGCUGUAAACGCUGUCGAUUUGGGGGUUGGGGUUUAACUCUGGCGCCCGUAGCUAACGUGAUAAAUCGACCGCCUGGGGAGUACGGUCGCAAGGUUA